This 459-nucleotide ribosomal RNA is filed under the name uncultured bacterium. RNAcentral's name for it is "bacterial SSU rRNA". It matches the Rfam family "Bacterial small subunit ribosomal RNA", at positions 34 to 507 of the family's 1533-position model. The record is from RNAcentral.
CGCUGGCGGCGUGCUUAACACAUGCAAGUCGAACGGUGAACCAGAGCUUGCUCUGGGGAUCAGUGGCGAACGGGUGAGUAACACGUGGGCAACCUGCCCCAGACUCUGGGAUAACCUCGGGAAACCGAUGCUAAUACCGGAUACGACCACUUCGGACAUCCGACGGUGGUGGAAAGUUUUUCGGUCUGGGAUGGGCCCGCGGCCUAUCAGCUAGUUGGUGGGGUAAUGGCCACCAAGGCGACGACGGGUAGUCGGCCUGAGAGGGCGACCGGCCACACUGGAACUGAGACACGGUCCAGACUCCUACGGGAGGCAGCAGUGGGGAAUAUUGCACAAUGGGCGAAAGCCUGAUGCAGCGACGCCGCGUGAGGGACGACGGCCUUCGGGUUGUAAACCUCUUUCAGCAGGGACGAAGCGAAAGUGACUGUACCUGCAGAAGAAGCACCGGCUAACUACGUG